Molecule: ribosomal RNA, 270 nt
Filed under: uncultured bacterium
Lineage: Bacteria
Description: partial 16S ribosomal RNA
Rfam family: Bacterial small subunit ribosomal RNA
Source: RNAcentral
AAUGAACGUUGGCGGUGCGCCUAACACAUGCAAGUCGAGCGGAAGUAAUUCAGCGGCAGACGGGUGAGUAACGCGUGGGAAUCUGCCCUUUAGUGGAGAAUACCUUCGAGAAAUCGGAGUUAAUACUGCAUACGUUCCUUGAAUAAAGGAAGAAAGAUGGCCUCUUGCUGUCGCUAAAGGAUGAGCCUGCGUACUAUUAGCUAGUUGGUAGGGUAAUGGCCUACCAAGGCGAUGAUGGUUAGCCGGCCUGAGAGGGUGAUCGGCCACAUU